UCGAGCCGAGGGGGGCUGCGGUGUCGUUGAUGGGGGUCGGGGUCGGUACGCACAGCACUCAGCACCGCAGGGCUGCCCUCGGGGCUCAAAGCCCGGAGCCGAGAGGUGCGGGCGGGCAGCGCGUAGUUGCGUGGCGCUGCCGUACCUGGAGAGCGCCGUGCCGGGACGAGGAGCGGCCGUGAUGGGGUCCCGCAAAGCCCGAGUGUAUUUAAAGACAAAAAAAAAAAAGUGGUUUUCAGCAGCCCGACUUGAUAACCCGCAUUCCUGAGAUGCUGGGCGUUUGUGCAUCUUCAUUAACGUGACAAGAGCCUGAGUCUGCAGCCAGAAAGCGGCUCCUCCAGGUGUUUAUCUGAUCAGUGCACUUCAGGAAUUGCUCACUCUCUUCUUGAUGCUCCACCUGAGGGUUUCUCUCUCGCUGCAGCAGCGCUUCCUGAGGGAAUCUGCAUCCUCUGCCUGACUUCUCUGAUUGCUGGAGCUGCUGAACGUCCUACAGAAGAGGCCCAGCAGCAGCAGCAGGUAGGGUGAGGCAGCUGCUGAAGAAACACUCAAAGCUCACUGGUGACUCUUGUACAGUUUGGGCCUCUGCACAGAUGCAUGCUUUGUUACUGCUCUCCACACUGGAGGUUUAUAAAGCAAGUCUGUAGUUAUGGUGUGACUUGGUGCGCCCAGCACAGUGCAGACCUGCAGAGAUGAACUGAUUUUAUCCAUCUCCUUCCUGGAGUUUGUUGAUUGCUGUGAGGCACUUUGGAUUUGAUUUUCCUGCUGAAAGGUGCAAUUGCUGAUCUGGCAACUGAGGAAUCAUCACCAUCACCAGCGCAUCUCCUGGCAAAGCAAAGCACCUCCUUUCAUAGAAGCUGGUGAUUCUCAGGCGCCUUUCCCUAAAUAGGGGAUUUUUGGUGGAGUUAAACAUUAACACUGUUCGCAGUUCCCAUCUGUUCAAGGUCCAAGAGAGAAGCCGUGCUGAAUCAGCCUGGCAGCUGUAUUUCCUGCUCCGGUUCUCUCCUUCUGCAUGAUUCACUCACUCCAACUCCCUGCCAGGAAGUCUUGGUCCUGGGUGAGACAGUAAGAAACAGGGAUGCUCCUGCUGUCCUGCACCAGGAUACUGGAGACCAACUCCUGUGUGUCCUGACUGCCCUGCAAGUAAUGUUGGUGCUGCAAGGAAAGGAGGGAAACUCACACUCAACAAAAGACUUGCUCGAGCUAUUCAGGAAUUUUCUUUGGCUGUUAGCAGUCCUAUGCUCUUGCCACAUGUAACUUUUCCUUCCAGGCUGUGCUGGACAAUGGCUGUGAAUGCACGGGACAGCUUAUUGUUUGGCUGUGUAUGUUGCUCUUGUUUGGGCACUUGAACUAAAAGGGUAAAUCCUUUUAACUGUGAUGUUUUCAAGAGGAGCACAUUAGCCAGGAAGGAGGGUGGGCAGAUGAGAAGAGCUGUUUUAUUUAAUAUUACUGCCACAGUAGUACACUCCAGCACUGCCAGGACUUUGGGCGUAGCCAGUCUGACAUGGGAAACUGAUUGUUCAGCGCUGUUGCCUGGCUGCUGCUUGGAGCUGCAGCUCUGUGCUGUCUGCCUGGUGCUAAGGGUUGGAGUCAGACCCAGCAACUGCUGCUCAUCCACUUCCAGAGGCACCGAUCCCACGCUGGUGGGUUUGGUUCUGCCUGGACAGCACUCAGUUUGCUUCAGCACCGGUGGCAGUUUGUGAAAAUGCAACUGCAGGAUCUGCUGAGCUCAGACCUGCAAACGGAGCCAGGAGUCUCUCUGGCUUUGGAUAAAACUUUGCUGUGGUUACAUGGAUCAUGUGAUGGCGCAGCUGAUCUUUCCAGCAUUCGGUGCUCUUGCUUUAGGCUUCCUCAGCUGUGCAAAGAGUUCAAAAAUUGUCCCCCCCUGAUAUAACUGCUACUUAUUGAUACUAGGACAACAACUUCCAGGAGUUGUUGAGGAGACUCCUCUGCCUGCAUUCCUGUUUAUCAGAGACUCCUUCCCAGCACGCCAGCCCAUCCACAAAGCCUUCAGCAUCCUCAGCUGUGGGAUUUCUGAACAGAUGCAGCUCCUCCCUGCAGCGCAGUGGCACUCCCUUCCCUGCUCAGGACAGCGUGCCACGUCGGUCAGAUCCUCAAGAGCUUUGGCUCUCAGAAUCGAGUGAGUUAAACCAGGUCUAAGCUGGACUCUGGGUCCUCUUUGGGACAUGUUGACAGAGAAAUGUACGCCUUGAAACAACUUGAAAAGAAGAACUGUAGGGAGGGAGGAGAGUAGGAAAAGGCAUCGGCUGUGAGCGGCCGCCCUCUCCUGAGUUCUCCCCCCCUGCAAAGAGUGCAGCCCUGGCUCCUCUGUGACCUCUUUCUUCCUGCAGAGUAAUGAAAGUCAGCACGCUGUAAUGGCAGGCUGAAAGUCAGCUGCUCUGCCACAGGGUUUGUCCUCCGGAUAGAUGAAAGGAAAGUGGUUUGGUGUCCAAACGACUGUCACAGCUUUAAAGAAGAAUUAAAGCCAGAUGUUUCCAACCAGCCUGCUGAGAGCAGCCUUUUCUGACAUAUUUGCCAAGCCAUCAAGGAGACCCAGCCAGUGUCUGCAGUGCUGCAUGUUGGGAAAACACUGUGAUCCCAAAAGCUGUGCUGCAGUUGCUGGAGCACCCAGGCUGUCCGUAAUGAGUGCACCCACAGGGUUGGGGCACAGUGCCGCCAGCUCAAUGUUUGUGCACCAUUUAUCAGUAUUUACUCCUCACUGAUAAUGGAGAUGAUAGCAAGAUUGUAGUAAACACAUCAAAUUCAACACCUUUUGCCUUAGGACAAGGUAUUGUAGGUAUUGAAGGUAUUGUAACUGGGCUGGCAUCAGCUCUCAGAUUGGUGGCUUGUAAUGGUCAAUGGAGUCCAGAAUGUCAUCCCUGUCCCUGGCUGCGCUCAGGCUGAUGUUCAGUCUAACAGGCAGAUUGAGCUUUUGCCACACUGGGAUCCCAUCAGAACAACGAAGAAAGCAUUUUAGUCUCGCCUCACACACACAGCGUUUGUAUUCAGCUGCGGCUGAAGCCAAUGACUGUUCCUGUGUGGGUAGAAGUGAGGUGAAAGCCGAGGAAUAGGGAAACGGAAUCCUUGCCUCAGUGUAAUCAGGGAGAGAUCGGCACUUCCCACUUUGCUGGGAGCAACACAGACCUCAGGACUGCUGGGUGUGUGGUUCCAGCUCACACCCAGAGGUAAUUAAUCUUUUUGCCAGCGUAGCUGCUCCAGGCUUCUGACUACAAUAGGUAUUGCUCUUUGCCUUUGUCAGCCUGCCUUGUGGUUACAGCGUUCACCUUCUGGCCUCUUCAGGAUAAAUUCCUGAUGCUGUGCCCUCAGCGCUGCUUCGAGGUGGAGUUUCCUCUUGCGAAAUCAGUGGGCGCUGGAAAUGUCCUCUUGGCUCCAGUGCCUGGGAAAGGUUUUGCUUCCUGAUCUAUGGGGAUGUGUCGCAGCCUCCUCUUCCUCCUGCCAGCAUGCUUCCUCCUCUGGAGCGGCAGAUGAGGUGCUCCUGAGAUGCCAUGUGCCACCGGAUCACUGUCUAUUGCAGGGAAGCAAAUGAUAAAUUCAGAAGGUGCAAAAAUAAAUAGAGAAGAGGAAAGAUAGGAUGCGGAAAAUCCCAGUUUUUACUGGCAUCCACUCAUAAUCAGAUAAUUUGACCAAUAACAAAAAAUAAAUCCCUCUCUCGUCUGACUCUACAAAGCUGAGACAUAAAAAGGAGCUUUCUUCCAUGCCCUUCAUUUGUUCUCACAAUACAACAUCUCAUUUCAGCGUGUGCAUCAAUUCAUUCUGCUCCGCCACAUCACGGACAGAGGCACGAUUGUUUCUGCUGCGAUUCCAAAACCAACUGUGCAGAGAAAGCCUUUGGGAGCUGCUCGGUGAGGCGGGCUUUGGGCUGCUGGCACUCCGGGUGGAGCUCAGGGAAAGCUGUCGGCCUCACCACCCUCCUGUAAAUUAACAGAAGACGGUGACUAACAGGAAGGAAACCGGACUGUGGUGUAAACACAAACUUUCAGAUGGGUAUUAAAUGUUAUCUGAUUGUAGCUUGUUUCUUGAAUAGUCCCAACUGAUUUGCUCCCUUGGAAGACAGACAAUUAUUGUUGCAAAAUGAAUUAUUUAGUAGCUUUAUAGACUGGGUCUGUUUUUCUGCCCCUUCUGCACUUCAAGCCCAAUGAGGUUGUAGGUGAGUAAGGGCUCUGCCAGCAGUGGAAGUGUUUUUGCAAACAUCUGACCAAUGACUUUACCAGUGUGAUUAAAUGGGGAGAUCCUGCAGGAGCAAAAAAGAACUGGGGCCUCCCUGAGCUCCUGUGGGAUUUCCAGAGCUCAGUAGGUCUGAACACGAGGCUCAGAACAAUUCUGUGCUAUGAUUUCCCCAUUGCUGUGAUAUUGCGAUGGGUGCACUAAAAAUGGAUGAGCAGAUUCUGAAGAUAAAGAGGCCUGUAAAACAGGGAUAAUGCUUAAUUACUUCACAGGAGGGUAAAAGGAUUAAUGAAUUAAUGUUUGCAAAUUGCUUUGAAGAUGAAAUGUGCUAAGUCUGAUUAUAUCUGGUGGGGUGAGGGAUAAGAAUGAAAAGGAGGUGAUCAAUUCCAUCCUGUAGCCCCCAGAAACAAUAAAUAAUGAUCUGAA
This is a long non-coding RNA of Meleagris gallopavo (turkey), 4608 nucleotides long. RefSeq lists it as uncharacterized. Lineage: Eukaryota; Metazoa; Chordata; Aves; Galliformes; Phasianidae. The record is from RefSeq and is a predicted model, not a curated record.